UGCUUUACACAUGCAAGUCGAGCGGCAGCGCGGGGGCAACCCUGGCGGCGAGCGGCGAACGGGUGAGUAAUGUAUCGGAACGUACCCAGUCGUGGGGGAUAACUAUCCGAAAGGAUAGCUAAUACCGCAUACGUCCUGAGGGAGAAAGCGGGGGACCGUAAGGCCUCGCGCGAUUGGAGCGGCCGAUAUCGGAUUAGCUAGUUGGUGAGGUAAAGGCUCACCAAGGCGACGAUCCGUAGCUGGUCUGAGAGGACGACCAGCCACACUGGAACUGAGACACGGUCCAGACUCCUACGGGAGGCAGCAGUGGGGAAUUUUGGACAAUGGGGGCAACCCUGAUCCUGCCAUUCCGCGUGAGUGAAGAAGGCCUUCGGGUUGUAAAGCUC
RNAcentral lists this ribosomal RNA (386 nucleotides) under uncultured organism. RNAcentral describes it as "bacterial SSU rRNA". It matches the Rfam family "Bacterial small subunit ribosomal RNA", at positions 45 to 433 of the family's 1533-position model. The record is from RNAcentral.